GACGAACGCUGGCGGCGUGCUUAACACAUGCAAGUCGAACGGAAAGGCCCUGCUUUUGUGGGGUGCUCGAGUGGCGAACGGGUGAGUAACACGUGAGUAACCUGCCCUUGACUUUGGGAUAACUUCAGGAAACUGGGGCUAAUACCGGAUAGGAGCUCCUGCUGCAUGGUGGGGGUUGGAAAGUUUCGGCGGUUGGGGAUGGACUCGCGGCUUAUCAGCUUGUUGGUGGGGUAGUGGCUUACCAAGGCUUUGACGGGUAGCCGGCCUGAGAGGGUGACCGGCGACAUUGGUACUGAGAUAGGGACCAGACUGCUACGGGAGGCAGCGGGGGGGAAUAUUGCACAAUGGGCGGAAGCCUGAUGCAGCAACGCCGCGUGCGGGAUAACGGCUUUCGGGUUGUAAACCGCUUUCGCCUGUGACGAAGCGUGAGUGACGGUAAUGGGUAAAGAAGCACCGGCUAACUACGUG
This 468-nucleotide ribosomal RNA is filed under the name uncultured bacterium. RNAcentral describes it as "partial 16S ribosomal RNA". It matches the Rfam family "Bacterial small subunit ribosomal RNA", at positions 28 to 507 of the family's 1533-position model. The record is from RNAcentral.